UGUCUCCCCAGUCUCCUUUCUGGGAGGGCUUUUCCUCCUCUUCCGUUUGCCCGCAGUCUGGGAAUCAAAGAAUCCUUAUCAGUGCUUCCUUCCUCUCAGAAAGCUGGAAUUCGCAGUGUCCACCCCAAAUGUCUAUUGGCCUAAGCAAAUUCUUCCAAACCCCGAAGAGCUGAGAAAAGGGCUGGAUAUGGCAGGGGGCUGCAGCAGGCUGCCAACGAUGGAGGUUGGAGGAAAAUACUCCCCUUUACCACAGCUCUAAGGGGGUGGGAUAAAUACGUGGCUAUCUCUAGUUCCUCAUGUCUUAUUUCUACCUCUCUGCCUAACAUCUAUUUAUCUCUGGUUUUCCUCCCCACAUGUCUAGGGCAUGGCUUUGACAUUCAGUCAAACUAGUGAAGACACAUGAUUACCCAUUUUCUGCUACCCAAAAUAAUCUCUCUCUCUCUGUCUCUCUCUGUGAAGCAAAUUGCUCUUUGCUGGUAAGGAAAGUAUUAAAGGUGCCAUAGCACCGGCAGCUCCUUCUUGGGAUACGCUGUGGUGCUACAAAAGAUCUCUGAAAUUUGGCAGCAUCUCCAUGAAGGCGGCCCAGAUGGCUGAUGUUAGCAAGCAGUGGGGAAUGAAAGGUCUGAUUGGAAUCUGAGGGUGCCAGCCCUUGAGAAACUGAUUUGUAGAGAGUCAAAGCCCAUUUUGGUGGUGGUGCUGCUGCUUUGUUGGGUCAACGUUCUGCUCCAGAAUUCCGUAUUUUAGGCUAGCAGCAUAACGAAGCCUUGGGCAGCAUCUGCUGCACCUUUCCCAGUACAUGGGACUGUGAUUGGUGUUACCAGUCACAGCUAGAAGAUCUGCCUUCUGAUUCCCCAGUGGGAGACAAGCCAAACCAACUUGCAGAGCAAGCCAAAUAAUUGUUGAUUAGACACUUCUUUUAGCAUGGAGUGUUCUGCCCUUUUAGCUGUCCUGGUUAUAUAGGCCAAAUCAGUUACUAGAUUAAAAGGUUGUUGUAAUUUUUUAAAUGCUCUGACAUCAGCAGCCAACUCAGGAAUUUGGGGGGUUCCUUCGAUGACUUGAACAUCCUACUCCCACUUCUGAGUGUUUGGAUCCUUCCAAGUGAUAACCGAUUUGUGUGAUUUUCCAGAGCGAUCUGUAAAAACUGUGAGGGCUUUAAGAGGAACCUUACCUUUUAGAGAAUUUGGGACUAGAUGGAAUGUUUCUUUUAGUAGCUUGUGUUUUGGAUAAUGAAUAGAGACUUGUCCGGGAUAGCUGUCUAAAUCAAACUGAAGGUAUCCAUUUGUCUGUAAUAGCGAUUCUAAUUUGUGUAGUUGAAAUGCUGGAUAAAUGUAUGUUGGGUCACACGCUGCAGGGGUUCGGAGGUGGUUCCUGUCUUUAAUGAUUAACUGAGCUAAAAGCUCUUGAGGGAUUGUAAUAGUUUUUUUGGUGUGGCAAAAAUACCCAUUCUACAAUUAACAAUUUUUCUGUAGAAGACGGGUCCCACUGAAAAAGCAGUGCCUGGAAAUGUGGGGAUUUACCAAGACUAGCAAACUGGGAGGUUAGAGAGCAGUCAGCGCGGUGUGCUUUUCGAGAUGAGAUAGCAGGUGCUACCUUUCGCAGCGCGUCGUGGGCAUCUGGAGUUAAGAUGCGCUGGGAAGUCAGGUCAUGGCUCCCCUUCAGUAGGCUGAACAAAGGGCACAGCUCUUCUCUCGUGAGUCCAAGCAGUGGUCGGAUCCAGGUGAUGGAGCCACACAACUGUUGUAUGUCCCUUAGCAUUUGAGCCUUAUCUUUGAUGGAGAUAUUUUGGGGAAUAAUGGCUCACCCGCUGAUAAGGAAUCCAAGGUACUUCCACAGGGAGGUCUACUGGGUUUUUCAGGAGCAAUAUCAAAACCUGCAUCUUCAACUGCUGUCACAGUCUUUCUGAUCACUGGGUUAAGGUAAGUCUUUUCUUGGGAGCAAAUUAAAAUGUCGUCCAUAUAAUGCCGAAAUAUAGCUUCAGGGAAGGCUUUCCUGAUUGGAGAUAGAAUCCCAGCCACAAACAUUUGACAUAAAACAGGGGAAGUUUUCAUUCCCUGUGGCAAUGUGACCUAAUGAUAUCUUUUAAAGGGUUCUUGACAGUUGAUUGGUAUCGAAAAUGCGAAUUUGGGAGUGCGGGACAGAGAGGGAUGUUGAAUAAACAGUCUUUGAUAUCAAGGAUUGUGAGCUGCCAGUCCCUGGGAAGUACAGAAGGUGAGGGGAGCCCUGGUUGCAAGGAGCCCAUGUCUUCUAAAACAUAAUUUACUUUCCAAAAGUCUUGUAAUAACCUCCAUCUGUCUUUGCCAGGUUUUUUAUAAAAAGACAUGGGUCAGGAGCUAGUUGAUGGUACAAUGUGUCCUUUUAAUAAUUGUUCCUGUACUGAGGCAUGGAGCACUUCUAAUUUGUCAUUUGGAAGGCCCAAUGAUCCACCCACACAGGAUCAUACCCACAGGGAGGGAUCAUACCUUUUCCCACAGAUGGACAACAGCCAUAUUGAGUGGUUUAGUUUUCAUUUCUUUUUAAUUCCCAAAGUUUCAUUUUUUUCAACAUUGUAAUACAGCAUCUCUAUUCAAAUCAUUAUACUCACCUUGGUUAAUUAAAUAUUUAUUAAUUUAUUUUGCCCCCAUAAUAUCAGACAAAAGCAUAGGACAAAAGCAUAGGAAGAACAAGAAGCAAUUACAGAAAUACAGUAUCUUCCCUGAAAAUCCCUUGGAAACCAUGUUAAAACAAUGGGAAGAACAUCAACUUACUAAAGAUAAAGACCCACAGCUCAAGAUUGUGCAUUGCAUGUUAGAAUGGCCAAAGAAGAAAUUAAAACAAGGUCUUCGCUGGCUGAAGCAUGGGUCUACCAGGAUGUGGAUUUGCGAAGUACUUUACAAUUACGCCCAAAAUAAAUUAAAUGCAGACUGGAAUUGCAGUAUGUGGAGGUCUGGUUUAAAUAUUGGAACAGCGAAAAGGAAGUAGAAACAGAUAAACCAAAUUCUCUCUGUAAUGAUCAAUGAUAAAGACACAACAAGGAAAACCAAUCAACCAAGGUGGGACUCAUUAAAUUUCCUCCCCCCUACUGCACCUCCCAACGAACCAGCUGCAACUGCAGCUGAGUCAUUGGAGGCUUCAAUGAGUCAUGUAACUGAGAGGGCUGAAGAAAUUGAAAGUAGCAGUGGGACAUCAGAAGAAACGUAUAUUCUAUCAUUCUCCUCCAGGCAAAUUACAAAUUCAGCCAUGCAGGAAGUUCCAUCCAAUCAAGAAGGUCCAGCCUUCUUCACUUGAAGGAGAACCCUGGUAGUACAAAAAUGUUCCUCCUGCUCCAGCAGUAAAGAUAAAACAAAGGUGGCAUCCCUCAGAGAGGUCCCAAUGGAGGGUGCACAAGGUGGAAUAGGAUAUGUAAAUGCACCCCUCACCUCUUCAGAAGUGAGGCAUUUUAAAAAGGAAAUGGAGAUAUUAUUCAGUGACCCAGUAGGUAUGUCAGAAAAAGUUUACCAGUUCUUAGGCUCUAGGAUUUACCCUAGGGGAAAAUGAAAUUCAAUAAUGCAAACCCUUUUCUCUCCAGAGAAGAGAAAAGUUAUUUAGACUGCAGGGAUCAAUAUAUUGGACAGAGAACAUAAUUUAGGAACAACUGGAGAGAAGAAAUUACCAUUAACAGAUCCAGAAUGGAACCCUAACUCAGAUGAAGGAAGAAAAAGUAUAGCAGAAUACAGAACCCGAAUUGUAAGGGGAAUAAAAGAGGCAGUCCCCAGAGUUAAUAACAUGAAGAAAGCCUUUGGUAGCAAACAAUAAAAACAUGAGAGCCCAACUGACUGUAUAACUCGCUUAAAUAAUAACAUCCAAUUAUAUUUAGAAAGAGAUUUAGGUAGUGAAGGAGGGAAGACAAUGUUCUAGGUCCACUUUGGGUUACAUUCUUGGCCUGACAUAAAACAGAAAUUAGAGAAAUUAGAUGGAUGGCCAGAAAGAAGUUUAGAUGAGUUAUUAGCUGAAGCACAGUAAGUUUAUGCCAGGUGAAAUGAAGAGAAAAUGAAGACUAAAGCUAAGAUGAUGGCUGCUGUCCAAAUUCCUAAACCAAUUAGGCAGGAUGGGGAGAAUAUUCAAUUGAAGAAACCUAUUUGCUUUUAUUGUAAGAAAGAAGACCAUAUGCAAUCCUGCUGUUUUAAGACAUUGAGGGACUUAAGAGAUUCUCCAAGUGGAGAAUCAACCCUCAGAGAACUGAGGGGGUCAGGGGCUCUUCUUCUUGGGGCACAAAAACCAUCUUCAAGAGCCCUUGAUAAAAUCAAGGAUAGGACCCCUAGAACAAUUAAUGGAAUUUUUAGUAGACACAGGAGCAGAGACAACUUGUUUAACUGAAAAACCAAAUGCAUGUGCCAUAAGCAAAGACACUUUCAAUAUUUGUGCUGCUAAAGGGGAAUCCUUCCCCAUUCCCAUCAUUAAGAAUGUCACUAUAAAGGGUAAUGGACUAACCAGAAAGGGAGAUUUGUUUUUCUACCUCCAGCAGGUAACAACUUACUUGGCCAGGAUCUCCAGAUACCUUUGAAAGUUGGAGUAGUUCCACAAGAAGGAAGGAUGAAGGUCAUUUUGUUUACUUUAUCCACACAAGAUGAAAACUGAUUAAUCCUACAGUGUAAGCCCAACCAGAUUCUCCUUCUAGACACCUGUUUGCUUCCACCUGGGAAGAUCCAGACACUGGAAGGAAACAGCAGCUCACCUGGACCUGGUGACUGCAAGGGUACAUGGAGUCUCCCACACUCUUCGGUCAAGCCUUGGAGAGCCUGUUCAUUCCCUUUUCUCCACCCUCAGGAAUACAAGUAACACAGUAUGUAGAUGACAUACUACUCUCCAGAGAGCAAGAAUCCACUGUAAAAUUAGGCACCAUUCAGUUACUGAACCUUCUAGGAGAGAAUGGACUAAUAGUAUCUAAAUCCAAAUUACAAUUUGUUAAACCAAAGUAAAAUAUUUCGGACAUGUAAUUGGUCAUGGUACCAGAAAAUUGAGUACUGAAAGGAUAGAAGGGAUUUUAAAUUUACAACCUCCCCAAACAAAGAGCGAGGUUAGACAAUUAUUAGGCUUAAUGAGGUACUGUAGAAUAUGGAUUGAUGAAUACACACAAAGUGUCACAAUUUUAUAUGAAAAAUUAACUACAUCAGAACCUAUUAAUUGGACCCAAGAGGAUAAUAAAAACUUAGAAAAUUUAAAGCAAAAGAUGAUUCAGACCCCAGUUCUCUUUCUUCCUUCACUAGAAGAAGAUUUUCACCGCUAUAUUAACAUAGAGAAAGGAAUUCCUUAUGAGGUCUUGGCCCAAGAGUGGUCAGGAAUCCAUAAACCUGUAGCCUACUUGUCCAUAUUGUUGGUCCCUGUGUCCCAAGGAUGGCAAACAUGCAUCCAACCAAUCACUGCAGCAGCCAUCCUAGUAACAGCCAGCCAAAAACUUACAUUUGAGAGAAAUCUGACAGAAUACAUACCACACUCCACCCAAACCAUUCUUAAACAACGAGCAGCCGAAUGGCUAACAGACUCUCAUAUUAUACAAUAUGGGAGCACCCUCAUCCAUUCCACAACUGUAACCCUGAAAACAACCACCCACACCAAUCCUGCACAGUUCCUAUGUGGAAUUCCCCAAAAACAAGAUCUCGUGCACAACUGCAUAGUUUUUAUAAACCUGCAAACAAAAAUUCAAGAAGACCUCCUAGAGAGCCCAUUAGAUGAAGGAGAAAUCCUGUUCAUCGACGGAUCAUCUAGAGUAGUAAAUGGAAAGAGGUGCUCUGGAUACUCCAUCAGAGAUGGAAAAGAACUGUACAGGUUAGAAAAGGAAAACUACCACCUUCCUGGUCUACCCAGGAGAAACAACAUGAAUAGAACCAAGGCCAGUUCCAGGUAGGACUUUCCUGCAUUUAGGUCCCUUCCUGCAUCCAGGUACACUCCCAUGAAAACCAAGGGGUCUGAACCCAGUAGGAAAACCAGAGAGGUUGAAUGGUCUGCACCACCUAUCAAAGAGUACCACAGCACUUCAAUCUUCCCAUUGACCCCUGAGCGAGGGAAGGGAAGGUGCGCCCUACUCCUCAUACUCUCCCUCUGGAUCCUGUAGAUCCCCCUUGUCAGAGCCUGCAUCUGCUGCCACCAAUGCUAACAUACAGUGUACCUGACCAAAGGAAACUCCUACCUCAUAAAACACUCAUUCCAGGCACAUUCUUAUGUAAAUCCCUUUUGUUAUAAUAUGAUGACACUGAGUAGAUACUGACAAUCGGACAAAAACCAAUGGAUUGGUAGAAAUAUUGGAAAUGCAAACCAGAAAAGGAAUGGAGAGUGUCCUGAUCAAGAGAUUUGGCUAUAUGUCAAAUUUAAUUAUAUAACGAAAAAGAAGGAUUUGUUAAAAAGGAAAACUUAUGAUGUUGAUUUGAUUCGAGAAAUUGUAAUAACUGAAAGGGGGAAACAAAAGGGGGACAAUCCAUUAGCUACCGAUAAAAACUUAUUUACUGUUUUAGCAGAACAAAUUAGUAAAAAUCAAAAUAUAACCAAUUGUUGGGUUUGUGGAGGCACCUUCAAAUCAGAAGCCUGGCCUCAGCAAGGAGUCAGUAUUGGACCCCUCAAAUGACUUAAACUAAAUUAUUUCCCCUCCCAAACUCCAAGAGAUCAAGACAAUUGGCUAUUGAGGGACACAGUUCUUGGAGAAGAAUGUAUCUGGAGAAAAGGAAAAAGAUACACUGAGGAAGUUGGAGAAACUACCUGUAAAAGAUAUUUACUAACUGAGGAUCACAAGACGUGGUGGAUACUGAACGAACCAGAUACCUUUUGGUCAAAGAAGAAAAUCAGAAACAAGAACUGCAUAUUACAUCCCAAUGAACAACUUUAUCAGUGCUGGGACCCUAAAAGUCAGCCUUUAUUCAGUAUUACCCCAAGUUUCUAAGUAUUGGACCUCCACUUUUAUCACGCUUUCACAUUUUUGGGAGGCCCCCCAAGGUUUAUACUGGAAUUGUGGGCAAAGAGCAUAUUCUAAACUCCCUUCUCACUGGUGUGGCAAUUGUACCUUAGGAGCAAUACGACCUAGCCCCUUUCUACUAUCAGAAGCAGCUGGAAACCAGCUCGGAGUUCCCCUAGAUGAUAAAUUAAAGAGACAAAAAAGAUGUGAAAUAGGGGGAAUGUAACAAUGGGGUGAGGAAGAGUGGCCACCAGAGAGAAUUUUAGAAACUUACGGACCUGCCACUUGGGCUCAGGAUGGGAGCUGGGGCUAUCAAACUCCCAUUUACAUGCUAAAUCACAUUACUGGACUACAAGCCCUGAUUCACGUCAUAUCUAAUCAGGCCAAGAGUGCAAUUGAUUUUUUCAACGCCCAACAGAAGCAAAUGAAAACAGCUGUAUAUCAAAACUCUUUAGCCCUAGAUUAUUUAUUAGCCAAAGAGCGUGGAAUAUGCGGCAAUUUCAACACAUCAGACUAUUGUCUGCAUAUUGAUGACCAUGGUGAAACUAUUACUAAAAUUACCCAAAACAUCAGAAAGCUUACACAUGUUCCAGUCCAGUUUUCACCUGAUUAGUGGAAAAAUAUGUUCUCUAGGGAGUGGUAGAAGAAAGCCUUAAUUAUUUUUCGAGUUUCCUUAGUUAGCCUUCUCUUUCUCCCGUGCUUAAUCCCAUGUUUCAUUCAUCUAAUUACCUCAGUAGUACAAAGCAUGUUCGCUAGUCAAAAUCUUCAAACGAGCCAACAUUCUAUGCCUACUGUCAAGAAAAUCAUAAAUCUCAAUCCAAUCAAAACAGAUAGGAAAACGGGUAAAAAGGCCCAGCAAGUUUAGAUUAAUUUUAAACAAUUAAACAUUAUCAACAAAGAACUUUUACAUUUAUGUAAAUGCAAAAGCCAAUUACUAACAUAAGAGAAAGAGGGAGGAACUGUCAUUUAUAAAAUCCCUUACAUGGCUUUUGCAUUUGUGACUGGUUUAUAUUUGUAACUGUUAAUUAGCUUUUGCAUUUAUAACUGUUUAAAGUUACUAGUUUGAUCAAGUAAAAGUGUUCAAAUUAAUGAAGUAAAUAAUAUAAAAUCAUUAUCAAGUUAUACUAGCUAUUCAGUAGAUCCCAACUGAAUGUUUAACAGUCCUGUUAAAAUAGGUAGCAAAAUAAGAACUAUAUUAUUUUUAUAAUCCUUUGUUCUUAACCUAAUUACAUUAUUUGUAAAUUUAAUUAUCUCUUUUUAGUAGCCUUAUACUUUCAAAGUUCCCAGUGCAGUUUCCUCUCACCAACAGCAUGCAGCAUUUUACAGACAAUUUCUAGCCCACUCCAGGUUGAACUGGUAACUUGAUGCCACAGCAAUGGUGCAUACUAAUGAGAGAGCUUCCCAUCAAAAACCUCAGAGAUAUCAUCCCACCCCAGUGACAGCACACUCUGGGAAAGAAGAUCUUACCCCAUCAUCUACUAGCACCAAUCACCUGAGACUAUGGGGGCAGGACUGCAAGUACAGACUGAGGGGACCGAGAACAUCAAAGGGGCAGCCUGGCCUGAAGAGCUGUCUUUGCUGUCUUUUACUGUUCCUGGGACUGUGACUUAGCUACAGCAGGGGACCCCACACUGCAGAUUUCAGUCAAUAUCUCUUUUUAGAGACCUUAUUCCAGAUUUGAGGGCAGACUAAGUGCAUUCACUGCAAUGCCCUCGGGUUCUUGCCUUGGGGCCAGACGCCAGUUCAGCUAGAGGUUUCCUCAAUCCUUGGGCCUGGGACUUUAUCCUUUUUUCUUUCUUUCCUUUCUUCUUUUUCCUUACCUCCCUUUUUGUUUUUCCCCUUUAAAUAAACACCCUAUUUUUGUUCAAA
This is a long non-coding RNA of Passer domesticus (house sparrow), 8767 nucleotides long. RefSeq lists it as uncharacterized. The record is from RefSeq and is a predicted model, not a curated record. The transcript is spliced from 3 exons. Lineage: Eukaryota; Metazoa; Chordata; Aves; Passeriformes; Passeridae.